RNAcentral lists this ribosomal RNA (537 nucleotides) under Ampelomyces sp. F132. RNAcentral describes it as "eukaryotic LSU rRNA". The stretch from base 193 to 346 matches the Rfam family "5.8S ribosomal RNA". The record is from RNAcentral. Lineage: Eukaryota; Fungi; Ascomycota; Dothideomycetes; Pleosporales; Phaeosphaeriaceae.
GUAAAAGUCGUAACAAGGUUUCCGUAGGUGAACCUGCGGGAAGGAUCAUUACCUAGAGUUGUAGGCUUUGCCUGCUAUCUCUUACCCAUGUCUUUUGAGUACCUUACGUUUCCUCGGUGGGUUCGCCCACCGAUUGGACAAAUUUAAACCCUUUGCAGUUGAAAUCAGCGUCUGAAAAAACUUAAUAGUUACAACUUUCAACAACGGAUCUCUUGGUUCUGGCAUCGAUGAAGAACGCAGCGAAAUGCGAUAAGUAGUGUGAAUUGCAGAAUUCAGUGAAUCAUCGAAUCUUUGAACGCACAUUGCGCCCCUUGGUAUUCCAUGGGGCAUGCCUGUUCGAGCGUCAUUUGUACCUUCAAGCUCUGCUUGGUGUUGGGUGUUUGUCUCCUGUAGACUCGCCUUAAAACAAUUGGCAGCCGGCGUAUUGAUUUCGGAGCGCAGUACAUCUCGCGCUUUGCACUCAUAACGACGACAUCCAAAAGUACAUUUUUACACUCUUGACCUCGGAUCAGGUAGGGAUACCCGCUGAACUUAAGC